UCCCUGGCAGUCCAGUGGUUAGGGCUCUAUGCUUCCACCACAGCGGGCACAGGUUUGAUCCCUGAUUGGGGAA
RNAcentral lists this transfer RNA (73 nucleotides) under Bos taurus (domestic cattle). Lineage: Eukaryota; Metazoa; Chordata; Mammalia; Artiodactyla; Bovidae. RNAcentral also lists the same sequence under 2 other names. The record is from Rfam by way of RNAcentral.